This is a long non-coding RNA of Rattus norvegicus (Norway rat), 645 nucleotides long. RefSeq lists it as uncharacterized. Lineage: Eukaryota; Metazoa; Chordata; Mammalia; Rodentia; Muridae. The record is from RefSeq and is a predicted model, not a curated record.
UAGAUAGCUACUGGUGACUGCCACCUGCUUGGGGACUGGGGACUGGGGGCUGGGGCCGGGGAGACCGACAUAAAGCAACAAGGCCCCAUAGCGCUAGCUGAAGGGGUAUAGUUGCGGUUGGCCCUCAGGAUGCUGGUGCCUCUCAGUCCGAGAGCACAGUGCAGGACUUCCUGUACAGCUGGGGCUCGUUAACCUGAAGCCUUGACAUGGAAAGGGAGGAGUGAAGAAGUCCAGAUGUGUCACCAGCAUUCAGAACAGAGGCCGACUGGAGCCUAGGAAGAAGCAGAUUGUGCCUGCCAGCCUGCGCCGGGCGGCCUUCUCCUUCCUACUUCUGUCUGUGCGCACUACGUCAGCCUCACCAGGAACAAACCAGACCUAGCGGAGCCUCAGGACUCCUUCAGACGUGUGCAUAUCAGCCCCUGGGGAUCAUGUGACAUGCCCAGACUCCGAGGACUCGAGGAAUGCAGCAUUCAGAUGAGACUCCACUGCUGGCUGUGGUAGAGCAGCCUUGGGAAGCAGCAUCGCAGGUGAUCUGGGCAGCUGCGGGGAUGAAACCAGGGCUCCAGGCGAGCUAAGCAGUCUGCACGCCCAGCCCAGCCCGGAUGUCCUUGAAACUACCUGGGGAUAAACAUAUUCCUCCCAUAG